GCAUAUCAAUAAGCGGAGGAAAAGAAACCAACAGGGAUUGCCCCAGUAACGGCGAGUGAAGCGGCAACAGCUCAAAUUUGAAAUCUGGCCUCGCGGCCCGAGUUGUAAUUUGCAGAGGAUGCUUUUGGUGAGGUGCCUUCCGAGUUCCCUGGAACGGGACGCCAUAGAGGGUGAGAGCCCCGUCCGGUUGGAAGCCGAGCCUGUGUAAAGCUCCUUCGACGAGUCGAGUAGUUUGGGAAUGCUGCUCUAAAUGGGAGGUACAUGUCUUCUAAAGCUAAAUACCGGCCAGAGACCGAUAGCGCACAAGUAGAGUGAUCGAAAGAUGAAAAGCACUUUGAAAAGAGGGUUAAACAGUACGUGAAAUUGUUGAAAGGGAAGCGCUUGUGACCAGACUUGGGCCCGGCGAAUCAUCCAGCGUUCUCGCUGGUGCACUUCGCCGGCCCAGGCCAGCAUCAGUUCGCCUCGGGGGAUAAAGGCGUCGGGAACGUGGCUCCCUCGGGAGUGUUAUAGCCCUUCGCGCAAUACCCUGCGGCGGACUGAGGUCCGCGUUCUGCAAGGAUGCUGGCAUAAUGGUCAUCAGCGACCCGUCUUGAAACACGGACCAAGGAGUCGUCUUCGUAUGCGAGUGUUCGGGUGUCAAACCCCUACGCGUAAUGAAAAGUGAACGCAGGUGAGAGCUUCGGCGCAUCAUCGACCGAUCCUGAUGUUCUCGGAUGGAUUUGAGUAAGAGCAUACGGGGCCGGACCCGAAAGAAGGUGAACUAUGCCUGUGUAGGGUGAAGCCAGAGGAAACUCUGGUGGAGGCUCGCAGCGGUUCUGACGUGCAAAUCGAUCGUCAAACAUGGGCAUGGGGGGCGAAAGACUAAUCGAACCUUCUAGUAGCUGGGUUCCGCCGA
Molecule: ribosomal RNA, 895 nt
Rfam family: Eukaryotic large subunit ribosomal RNA